This 170-nucleotide ribosomal RNA is filed under the name Osteoglossum bicirrhosum (silver arawana). Its description in RNAcentral is "partial 12S ribosomal RNA". Lineage: Eukaryota; Metazoa; Chordata; Actinopteri; Osteoglossiformes; Osteoglossidae. The record is from RNAcentral.
CGCCGCGGUUAUACGAGAGACCCCAGUUGACACUAUCGGCGUAAAGUGUGACUACAGAAAAAUAUAAAACUAAAGCCAAAACCUCUCAAAGCCGUUAUACGCAUAUCGAGACUCGUAGGUCCCUAAACGUAAGUAGCUUUAACAUAUCUGAACUCACGAAAGCUGGGAAA